GGGGUUGUGGCUCACUGGUAGAGUACUUGCCUCUCAUGCAUGAAGCCCUGGGUUCGAUCCCCAGCACCACA
RNAcentral lists this transfer RNA (71 nucleotides) under Marmota monax (woodchuck). RNAcentral's name for it is "tRNA.Glu". It matches the Rfam family "tRNA". From Rfam's summary of the family: Transfer RNA (tRNA) molecules are approximately 80 nucleotides in length. Lineage: Eukaryota; Metazoa; Chordata; Mammalia; Rodentia; Sciuridae. The record is from RNAcentral.